Unclassified non-coding RNA from Dipodomys ordii (Ord's kangaroo rat), 241 nucleotides. Its record names the gene 7SK. It matches the Rfam family "7SK RNA". From Rfam's summary of the family: 7SK was discovered as an abundant small nuclear RNA in the mid-70s but a possible function has only recently been suggested. The record is from Ensembl. Lineage: Eukaryota; Metazoa; Chordata; Mammalia; Rodentia; Heteromyidae.
GUGUAGUAGCGUUCCCUUUGGGCCACAUUCCCACCACUUCUGUGUCCCUCCUGAAGCUGUACACUCCAUCAAAGAGGAAUACCAUCCUGGAUAGAGGAGGUCAGGUCUUUGGUCAAGGGUAUAGGAGUAGCUGCGUUCCUGUGCUAGAACCAUCAAACAGACUCUCAAAGAAAACUUCUUCUAUUUAUACAUAUUUGAUUAUAUAUACCCCUUCAACACACAUUAUACUUCUUCCUCCAAU